CAGAGGGAGACAUCUGACCAUGGACACAGUAUUGCUGCUUGCCAGUAUUCUAUUGCAGGGAGAGGCUCCUCCGUGCUCCUGAGAGGCCGAACACAGGGUCGCCAGCACAGCUUACUGCUCGGUGUCUCCUGAGCCACAGAGGAAGACGUGGCAGGAGCACCUGGUGCUAAUAUAUAUUCAUGUCUAUGGCAAUGCCGACCAUCUGGCUGGUCUGAACCAGGAUAAAAGUGAAGAAUUCCUCUGUGAAGACCCAGCUCUUUCUUUGGCUCCUUUUUUGAAGCCAUCUUUGCUCUGCUCUCCUCUGCUGCCCAG
Molecule: long non-coding RNA, 312 nt
Filed under: Homo sapiens (human)
Lineage: Eukaryota; Metazoa; Chordata; Mammalia; Primates; Hominidae
Description: HSALNT0233513
Source: RNAcentral